Molecule: ribosomal RNA, 528 nt
Filed under: uncultured bacterium
Lineage: Bacteria
Description: bacterial SSU rRNA
Rfam family: Bacterial small subunit ribosomal RNA
Source: RNAcentral
UGGGGAAUCUUGCACAAUGGGCGAAAGCCUGAUGCAGCAACGCCGCGUGCGGGAAGACAGCCCUAGGGUUGUAAACCGCUUUCAGCAGGGAAGAAACUGACGGUACCUGCAGAAGAAGAUGCGGCCAACUACGUGCCAGCAGCCGCGGUGACACGUAGGCAUCAAGCGUUAUCCGGAUUUAUUGGGCGUAAAGAGCUCGUAGGCGGUUCGGUAAGUCGGGUGUGAAAACUCUGGGCUCAACCCAGAGAGGCCACUCGAUACUGCUGUGACUAGAGUGCGGUAGGGGAGCGGGGAAUUCCUGGUGUAGCGGUGAAAUGCGCAGAUAUCAGGAGGAACACCAGUGGCGAAGGCGGCUCACUGGCUCGAUACUGACGCUGAGGUGCGAAAAGUGUGGGGAGCAAAACAGGAUUAGAUACCCUGGUAGUCCACGCCGUAAACGAUGAGUGCUAGAUGUUGGGAUUUUCGGAUUUCAGUGUCGCAGCUAACGCAUUAAGCACUCCGCCUGGGAGUACGGCCGCAAGGUUAAAA